This is a long non-coding RNA of Mustela erminea (ermine), 554 nucleotides long. RefSeq lists it as uncharacterized. The transcript has 3 exons. The record is from RefSeq and is a predicted model, not a curated record. NCBI's taxonomy places the organism in Eukaryota, Metazoa, Chordata, Mammalia, Carnivora, Mustelidae.
GGACGCGGCUUCCCUCCCCUUCGGCCGCCCCGCCCCCGCCCCGCCCGCCGGAAAACCGAGGGGGUCUUCCCUGCCGGCGGGGUCCGGCCUGUUGGGCGGCGCAGGACUGCUGCCCUCGGCUCCAAGACCAACAGGCAGGGGCAUCUGGGGGUUAGGAUGGUCCAGGUCAGCCCGGUGGGACCCGGGCAAGUCCCACAAGACCCCGCCUCGGUUUCCUGCUCUGCACGGGGACCCGCUCAUUGGACCUACCUUGGACGGUGCCGGCAAGGGCCAAAUGACAAGAACCAAGUGAUGCUGGCCCAUGCUGGGACCUAAGCAGACGCUCACUCUGCCUUCCAUCGCUCCAGGACGGACCACAUCCUGGUCUCCUCAGCCCUAUGCCCCAGACUGCACAGAACAGGACACCCAGGGCUAAGCUUCGGCUUGACAGCGUCUGGAGGGCCCCGUGGGAGAAGGCCGGGGGUCUGCUCCGGGUCCUGCUUUGUGGGUGCUGUCUGAACACUCUACACCCAGGGGCACCUGAGCACAUCGGGGCAGCAGGGCGCGUCGGCAGG